UGGAGAUUGUGCUUUACCAAAGUGAGGAACAAACCCAAACUGGAAAAGCAUGGGAUACAGGCAAUAGGAAAUUGCGUGGAGGACACAGAUGAAAGGGAUUCCUAUGAAGACUGAGCUCCAGGAUGGCAGUUGCAGAGUAGUCAGGAGUGACAGGAGCUAGAGACAAAGGAAUUAAAGUGGGGAAGCAUCUAGAAGAAAAAAAAUGAAAAGAAAAAGAAACUGAUAGAUUAUCUUAGAGUCCAACUCUAUUCAAGGGAGUAUCACAAUUCUACCAAAGAAUUUAGGGAGAAAUUCCUAAUAAGCAUAAAAAACUAAGCAACAACAAAAAAUAAGCUAUUACUAAUGAAAAAAAGAAACCCACAAAAGGUUACAUAAACAUGUUACCAUAGUACACUAUAUGACUCAGCUUUAAAUUUAGCCAGAAUAUUGUUAGACGAUUAUGUUGGGAGGAUGAGAGGAAGGACAAAGUGGGGGCAUGGGAGGAAUGCAGCCAGAGGGGUAUGGUAAGAAAGCUAAAUUCUCAUCAGCCCCAGAAGAAAACCAGUAGAAAGUGACUACACUUGAAACGAAAUGAAAUAACUGCACUUGCAUAUUAUUUAGGAACAUGAAAGUAAAUCACAAACAGUUGAAAGUGUUUAGACUCAGAGUGGAGAGGGGUAGAGAGAGGACUGAUAUUUUUAUUGUUGUAUUGACUUCUACAUUACAUACAUAAAGUAUUUCAGCACUAUGCUGAAGCAAUUUUUAAAAUUUCAGAAGACCAGGUGCGGUGGCUCACCCCCAUCUAAGUGUUUAAUCUAAGGACAUCUAUCAUAUCCCAGGGACUUUCAAUAGCCACUUCUUCCCCCAUAUUCCUCCCAUUCCCGAUACAUUUCUUCUCUAAACAAAACAUCCUGGGUCUUUCACCUAACCCCAUGGACAUACUCCAAAUCUCUAAUUUCCCGAGCAGCUUCAUAUCUGAGCAUGUUCCUUUAAGCAUGGUACACAGAUGGAAACAUUCCGGGUAUGAAGAAAUUAAACUCUCUCUUCUCUACAUUCUCUACCUCUACCACUUGGAAGAGGCUGAAGAUACUGCACAUAUGGACUUGAAGGCAUAAGGGCCUGCAUUUUAAGUCACUGGUGUGGUCUCAAUGUGUCCCCCAAAAUUCAUGCUGGGAACUUAGUCUCGAAUGCAACAGUAUUGGGAGGCAGCGCCUAACGGGAAGUGUUUAAGUCCUAAGGACUGAGCCCUCAUGAAUGCAUUAUAGUGCCCUUAUAAAAUGGGCUUGUGGGAGUGGCUCUUUUCUAGUCUUCUGCCAUGUGAGGAUAUGACAUUCCUCCUCUCUGGAGGACAUAGCAAUGAGGCACCAUCUUGGACUUCCCAGCCUCCAAAACUGAGAAUAAAUUUCCAUUCUCUGUAAAUUACCAUCUCAGGUAUAGCAGCACAAAACAAAGACAGUGAUCAUCAUAGCUGAAAUGUUAUACAGGUUACUAAACCUCUCUGAGCCCAUUUCUGCAUUCUGUACAAUGGGUUUUACCUACUCUCUCACAGUAUGAGUAAAAAACCAGGUGUUUAUGAAGUGCCUGUUACAGCAGACUUUCUGUAAGAGGUAACUGACAUUAACAGUGUAAACUAAGACCAUAUUUCUCGGUAGCCAUGUAAUACUGUUUGUUCUUACUCAACUGUUACUCGGUAUUGAUCACAGUUUAGUUGCACAAAACAGAAUUCAUUCUGGUUAGUUUAGCAGGAAAACAUUUAAAAUUUAUUGACAACAGAAAUAUUU
RNAcentral lists this long non-coding RNA (1760 nucleotides) under Homo sapiens (human). RNAcentral describes it as "HSALNT0220012". Lineage: Eukaryota; Metazoa; Chordata; Mammalia; Primates; Hominidae. The record is from RNAcentral.